UUUGAGAAUUUCGGGUUUUUUGGGUGGAAUUUUGAGAAUUUUGGGGUUUUUUGGGUGGAAUUUUGGGAAUUCUGGGGUUUUGGGGGUGGAAUUCCGGGAAUUUCCGGGUGGAAUUUUGGGAAUUUCGGGGUCUCCCCCCCAGGUCCGCCAGCCGCUCCGGGGAGAGGAAGAAGAGCAAGAAGAAGAAGCACAGGUCCGAAUCCGAGGCCAAGAAGCGAAAGCACCGCUCGCCCAGCCCCAAGGCCAAGCACAAGGCCAAGGAGAAGAAGCGCAAGCGGUCCACCAGCCAAUCGCAGAAGCCGGAGCGCUCUUCCUCCCCGGCCGGCUCCUCCUCCUCCUCGGGCUCCUCCCGCAGCAGGUGAGACCCCCCGGAAA
Molecule: long non-coding RNA, 375 nt
Filed under: Lonchura striata (white-rumped munia)
Lineage: Eukaryota; Metazoa; Chordata; Aves; Passeriformes; Estrildidae
Description: domestica (Bengalese finch) lncRNA (ENSLSDG00000010815.1)
Source: RNAcentral